CAGCCGCCGCGGGAAUACGGAGGGUGCGAGCGUUAAUCGGAAUUACUGGGCGUAAAGCGUACGCAGGCGGUCUGUUAAGUCAGAUGUGAAAUCCCCGGGCUUAACCCGGGAACUGCAUUUGAAACUGGCAGGCUAGAGUCUCGUAGAGGGGGGUAGAAUUCCAGGUGUAGCGGUGAAAUGCGUAGAGAUCUGGAGGAAUACCGGUGGCGAAGGCGGCCCCCUGGACGAAGACUGACGCUCAGGUACGAAAGCGUGGGGAGCAAACAGGAUUAGAUACCCGCGUAGUCCCUGUCUCUUAUAC
RNAcentral lists this ribosomal RNA (301 nucleotides) under uncultured bacterium. RNAcentral describes it as "partial 16S ribosomal RNA". It matches the Rfam family "Bacterial small subunit ribosomal RNA", at positions 509 to 807 of the family's 1533-position model. The record is from RNAcentral.